UCCUUGGUGGUCCAAGGGUAAGACUCUGUGCUUCCAGUGCAGGGGGCUUGGGUUCAAUCCCUGCUCAGGGAA
RNAcentral lists this transfer RNA (72 nucleotides) under Ovis aries (sheep). It matches the Rfam family "tRNA". Rfam says of the family: Transfer RNA (tRNA) molecules are approximately 80 nucleotides in length. Their secondary structure includes four short double-helical elements and three loops (D, anti-codon, and T loops). Further hydrogen bonds mediate the characteristic L-shaped molecular structure. tRNAs have two regions of fundamental functional importance: the anti-codon, which is responsible for specific mRNA codon recognition, and the 3' end, to which the tRNAs corresponding amino acid is attached (by aminoacyl-tRNA synthetases). tRNAs cope with the degeneracy of the genetic code in two manners: having more than one tRNA (with a specific anti-codon) for a particular amino acid; and 'wobble' base-pairing, i.e. permitting non-standard base-pairing at the 3rd anti-codon position. The record is from Rfam by way of RNAcentral. Lineage: Eukaryota; Metazoa; Chordata; Mammalia; Artiodactyla; Bovidae.